UACCCUUGACAUAUCUAGAAGGCUUAAGAGAUUGAGCUGUGCUCGCAAGAGAACUGGAACACAGGUGCUGCAUGGCUGUCGUCAGCUCGUGUCGUGAGAUGUUGGGUUAAGUCCCGCAACGAGCGCAACCCUUGUCAUUAGUUGCUACGAAAGGGCACUCUAAUGAGACUGCCGGUGACAAACCGGAGGAAGGUGGGGAUGACGUCAAGUCCUCAUGGCCCUUAUGGGUAGGGCUUCACACGUCAUACAAUGGUCGGGACAGAGGGUCGCCAAACCGCGAGGUGGAGCCAAUCCCAGAAACCCGAUCGUAGUCCGGAUUGCAGGCUGCAACUCGCCUGCAUGAAGUCGGAAUCGCUAGUAAUCGCGGAUCAGCAUGUCGCGGUGAAUACGUUCCCGGGUCUUGUACACACCGCCCGUCACACCAUGGGAGCGGGUUUUACCAGAAGUAGGUAGCCUAACCGUAAGGGGGGCGCUUACCACGGUAGGAUUCGUGACUGGGGUGAAGUCGUAACAAGGUAAGCGUAGUGCU
This 529-nucleotide ribosomal RNA is filed under the name uncultured bacterium. RNAcentral's name for it is "bacterial SSU rRNA". It matches the Rfam family "Bacterial small subunit ribosomal RNA", at positions 976 to 1509 of the family's 1533-position model. The record is from RNAcentral.